Molecule: long non-coding RNA, 212 nt
Organism: Nomascus leucogenys (northern white-cheeked gibbon)
Lineage: Eukaryota; Metazoa; Chordata; Mammalia; Primates; Hylobatidae
Exons: 3
Source: RefSeq, a predicted model, not a curated record
CAAUUUUCAAGUGCAAGGAAAUAGAACAACAUGCAGAUUUAGCCCAAAUAAGACUACUUCAAGGCAUUUAAUAAACAAACUCCCAAAGGUCAAGGAUAAAGAAAGGAUCCUAAAAGCAGCAAGAGAAAAGAAACAAAUAACAUACAAUGGCACUCCAAUACAUCUAGCAGCUGAUGUUUCAGUGGAAACCUUACAGGCCAUGAGAGAGUGAA